RNAcentral lists this non-coding RNA (96 nucleotides) under Rugositalea oryzae. RNAcentral describes it as "Rhodoplanes sp. Z2-YC6860 Glycine riboswitch aptamer". It matches the Rfam family "Glycine riboswitch aptamer". From Rfam's summary of the family: This family represents the bacterial glycine riboswitch. Glycine riboswitches usually consist of two metabolite-binding aptamers domains with similar structures in tandem. The aptamers cooperatively bind glycine to regulate the expression of downstream genes. RNAcentral also lists the same sequence under 1 other name. The record is from Rfam by way of RNAcentral. Lineage: Bacteria; Pseudomonadati; Pseudomonadota; Alphaproteobacteria; Hyphomicrobiales; Nitrobacteraceae.
AUUGUCAUCUCGGAAGAGUCCAUUCCGCAGCUGCGGCGUGGCGCCGACGGAGCAACCGCCCCGGAAACUCUCAGGCAAACGGACCGGGAUGAUUUC